This is a long non-coding RNA of Drosophila novamexicana, 958 nucleotides long. RefSeq lists it as uncharacterized. The record is from RefSeq and is a predicted model, not a curated record. Lineage: Eukaryota; Metazoa; Arthropoda; Insecta; Diptera; Drosophilidae. The transcript has 3 exons.
GAGUUAGUUUAUUUAAUUUUUUUACGUUUACAAAUUAGUCUCUAAUUAGCAUCUAAUAACAUUUCUUGGUGAGUUUUUCGGCCAUCCUACAUAUUUAAGAAUCGUAUGCAAAUUUAAAGGAAGCGACUUUCACAUUCUUUUUCUCUUUAUGGCCACCUGCAAUGGCAUAGCUGCCGCCCAGCGAUAAAAGAUACAAAUUUGUAUGAAUAAUUCAGUUCAGAAAGGAAGUGUAAAAAAUGUAACGCACAAUGCGCUCGCAUCGCACACAAGCUAGAAGGUGAGGCACUCGGAGAGUAAGAAAUAUCUGCCCAGUCUCGCCAUAAAAAAAAAAGAAGACCCUACAAAUUAUGAGCUUGAAGCGUGUCGUUUGCUGCAUUCCGCAGACGUCGGGAGCUGUCGCUGUGACAUAUGCACUCCAAAAUUGUUUUUGCGAUCCAUAUACAUAUACUUUAUGUGAAUACCCACCCACAGACCCUCUUAUAUGCCUGUCUGUGUGUGUGCGUGUGUGUGUUUGUGUGUGUAGGUGCCCUGCCCACGCAUUCUUGCCGACACUUCAAAAGCAUUCGCUGUGUGUGAAAAUUUUAUGUAUUGCCUUUAGCAGCAUCAUCAAAAAAGCACAAAAAAAGGAAUAAAAACAAAAAAAAAAAAAAAAUAAGACAUCAAUAUGAAAUUUUUGUCACGUUUUCUAAUGUGCCAAAGGAGCUGCCAAGUGCGGGAGGAGUAGGAGCUCCUCGAGGAGGCGGAGGAGUUGGCUGCUGGGCGGCAACUGGGAGACGCACAGCCGCGUGGGCGCGCCAUCACGCCCUCCCGUCAGACCCUAGAGCAAAUGUCGCGGCCAGCGGCGCGUUGCCAGAGGGAUUGAUGGGGCGUCGGUGGGUUUUGUUUUGUCAAGUGGAAGUGUGAAAUUGAAAUUCAUUUUGACACGAUGUGACAAGCAUUUCGUAGCAGCAGAGCAGCA